Molecule: long non-coding RNA, 309 nt
Organism: Arachis ipaensis
Lineage: Eukaryota; Viridiplantae; Streptophyta; Magnoliopsida; Fabales; Fabaceae
Source: RefSeq, a predicted model, not a curated record
CCGUAAUGAUGAUCGGAGUCGUAUUACCCGUCGCCUGCAUCAUGUACCGUUAUAAGCGCCUCCCUCCAUCUUCCGAAUACUCCAAAUAGACGUAGUGUUUGUUUUUGGAGACAGAAGAAGAGAAGACAAAAAUAUAGACAACUAAUAAAAAGUGUUUGAAGACGGAGACAUGGACAUUAAACACAUUGUUUUUAGGAUAAUUUUUUAUAUUUUUAUGUCCACUAUUUUAUGAAGGACAAUGAUGAAUACGAAAUUUGGAAAGGUGGACAUAGACUUUUUUAUGAAAAUUUUUUUCAAUAUUUUUUAUUA